Molecule: ribosomal RNA, 209 nt
Filed under: Ilyonectria destructans
Lineage: Eukaryota; Fungi; Ascomycota; Sordariomycetes; Hypocreales; Nectriaceae
Description: partial large subunit ribosomal RNA
Source: RNAcentral
AAGCGCUCAUGACCAGACUUGGGCUUGGUUGAUCAUCCAGGGUUCUCCCUGGUGCACUCUUCCAGCUCAGGCCAGCAUCAGUUCGCCGCGGGGGAUAAAGGCUUUGGGAAUGUGGCUCCCCCGGGAGUGUUAUAGCCCACUGCGUAAUACCCUGUAGUGGACUGAGGUUCGCGCAUCUGCAAGGAUGCUGGCAUAAUGGUCAUCAGCGA